CCUACGGGAGGCAGCAGUGGGGAAUAUUGCACAAUGGGGGAAACCCUGAUGCAGCGACGCCGCGUGAGUGAAGAAGUAUUUCGGUAUGUAAAGCCCUAUCAGCCGGGAAGAAAAAAGACGGUACCUGACUAAGAAGCCCCGGCUAACUACGUGCCAGCAGCCGCGGCAAUACGGAGGGGGCAAGCGUUAUCCGGAUUUACUGGGUGUAAAGGGAGCGUAGACGGUGCGGCAAGUCUGGAGUGAAAGGCAGGGGUUUAACCCCGGAACUGCUUUGGAAACUGCGAUGCUAGAGUGCUGGAGAGGUAAGUGGAAUUCCUGGUGUAGCGGUGAAAUGCAUAGAUAUUAGGAGGAACACCAGUGGCGAAGGCAGCUUACUGGACAGUAACUGACGUUGAGGCUCGAAAGCGUGGGGAGCGAACAGGAUUAGAUACCCUGGUAGUC
This 441-nucleotide ribosomal RNA is filed under the name uncultured bacterium. RNAcentral describes it as "partial 16S ribosomal RNA". It matches the Rfam family "Bacterial small subunit ribosomal RNA", at positions 338 to 795 of the family's 1533-position model. The record is from RNAcentral.